RNAcentral lists this ribosomal RNA (492 nucleotides) under uncultured bacterium. RNAcentral describes it as "partial 16S ribosomal RNA". It matches the Rfam family "Bacterial small subunit ribosomal RNA", at positions 29 to 507 of the family's 1533-position model. The record is from RNAcentral.
AGUGAACGCUGGCGGUAGGCCUAACACAUGCAAGUCGAACGGCAGCACAGUAAGAGCUUGCUCUUACGGGUGGCGAGUGGCGGACGGGUGAGGAAUACAUCGGAAUCUACUUUUUCGUGGGGGAUAACGUAGGGAAACUUACGCUAAUACCGCAUACGACCUACGGGUGAAAGCAGGGGAUCUUCGGACCUUGCGCGAUUGAAUGAGCCGAUGUCGGAUUAGCUGGUUGGCGGGGUAAAGGCCCACCAAGGCGGCGAUCCGUAGCUGGUCGGAGAGGAUGAGCGGCCAGGCUGGAACUGAGACACGGGCCAGACUCCUACGGGAGGCAGCAGUGGGGAAUAUUGGACAAUGGGCGCAAGCCUGAUCCAGCCAUACCGCGUGGGUGAAGAAGGCCUUCGGGUUGUAAAGCCCUUUUGUUGGGAAAGAAAAGCAGCAGGUUAAUACCCCGCUGUUCUGACGGUACCCAAAGAAUAAGCACCGGCUAACUUCGUG